Molecule: small nucleolar RNA, 134 nt
Organism: Ornithorhynchus anatinus (platypus)
Lineage: Eukaryota; Metazoa; Chordata; Mammalia; Monotremata; Ornithorhynchidae
Source: RefSeq, a predicted model, not a curated record
CCCCUCUCAGGGUCACAGCCGGAGAGUUCCCACUACUCUACCGGUCUCGACUACAGGAGGGUCAGGCAGAGACAUACCCAUUCCAUUCUUAGCUUGGGCAGCGGCUAGCGAGUGGAAGGCAAUCUGCUACAAGU